RNAcentral lists this ribosomal RNA (406 nucleotides) under uncultured bacterium. RNAcentral's name for it is "bacterial SSU rRNA". It matches the Rfam family "Bacterial small subunit ribosomal RNA", at positions 355 to 775 of the family's 1533-position model. The record is from RNAcentral.
CAAGGAAUUUUCCACAAUGGGCGCAAGCCUGAUGGAGCAACGCCGCGUGCGGGAGGACGCCCUUCGGGGUGUAAACCGCUUUUCGGGGGGACGAAGCUAAUGACGGUACCCCCGGAAGAAGGACCGGCUAACUACGUGCCAGCAGCCGCGGUAACACGUAGGGUCCGAGCGUUGUCCGGAAUUACUGGGCGUAAAGCGCGCGCAGGCGGUUUGGCGCAUCGGCGGUGAAAGCCCCCCGCUUAACGGGGGAGGGUCCGUCGCGAUGGCCAGACUGGAGGCAGGGAGAGGGCGGUGGAAUUCCGGGUGUAGUGGUGAAAUGCGUAGAGAUCCGGAGGAACACCAGUGGCGAAGGCGGCCGCCUGGACCUGACCUGACGCUGAGGCGCGAAGGCGCGGGGAGCGAACGG